ACAAGGAAGAAGAUCUUGGCUUGGGCCCCGCCCCCAUCAUCUGGGACAAACUACUCUGUGUUGCAGACCCCCAGUGCCACAGAACCGGCAUUUUCCUGACAUAGCUUCCUAUUCUAGAGACAUAAAAAGCCCCCCAGCCAUGCAGAGUGUGGGCCUCUCAGACUUAGUGGGUGCCUAAGACCACAUGAGUCAUCAUAUCCUGAAGACAUACUGAUCAGACUGUGUGAGGAGGCGAGGAAGACUGCAUCUAACAAGCUGAAGAUAAAUGCCAUUGUAUGUAUCUCUGCUGUGUUUGGGCAAUGCAAGCCUCUGUUAUUAAAUGCUCAAUGACUUAA
This is a non-coding RNA of Phascolarctos cinereus (koala), 335 nucleotides long. The record is from RefSeq and is a predicted model, not a curated record. Lineage: Eukaryota; Metazoa; Chordata; Mammalia; Diprotodontia; Phascolarctidae.